GAUGAAGAACGUAGCGAAAUGCGAUAAGUAGUGUGAAUUGCAGAAUUCAGUGAAUCAUCGAAUCUUUGAACGCACAUUGCGCCCCUUGGUAUUCCAUGGGGCAUGCCUGUUCGAGCGUCAUUUGUACCUUCGAGCCUUGCUUGGUGUUGGGUGUUUGUCUCGCCUCUGCGCGCAGACUCGCCUCAAAACAAUUGGCAGCCGGCGUAUUGAUUUCGGAGCGCAGUACAUCUCGCGCUUUGCACUCAGAACGACGACGUCCAAAAGUACAUUUUUACACUCUUGACCUCGGAUCAGGUAGGGAUACCCGCUGAACUUAAGCAUAUCAAUAAGCGGAGGA
RNAcentral lists this unclassified non-coding RNA (337 nucleotides) under soil metagenome. RNAcentral describes it as "partial contains 5.8S ribosomal RNA, internal transcribed spacer 2, and large subunit ribosomal RNA". The stretch from base 1 to 120 matches the Rfam family "5.8S ribosomal RNA", at positions 35 to 154 of the family's 154-position model. The record is from RNAcentral.